AUGAUAAAGGAGAUAAGGAAGAAAAGCAGCAUUUCAUGGGACGACCAACAGUGCAAGAUUCUAGCGGAUCCACCACUUUGGAAAAAAAUCAUCAUAUCACACCCUAAAGCUGGAAAGUUUAAGACAAAACCUUUCUCUCUUUUUGAAGCUUUGGGAGAAUUGCAUGAUGGACAAACUACUGAAGGGACAUAUAACUUCACCUCUAUCGAGUCAUCGCAGUACUCAAACCAAGCACAACUCGAGAAUCUGGGAGGAGUUGGUGAGAGAGGAACAUUAGCGAAUGGUGAGAAUCUUGGAGGAGAAAGGGUGCAGAUUGACGAAGAUGUUGAGGAGGUGCACAUGCAAUAA
Molecule: ribosomal RNA, 348 nt
Filed under: Triticum aestivum (bread wheat)
Lineage: Eukaryota; Viridiplantae; Streptophyta; Magnoliopsida; Poales; Poaceae
Description: partial small subunit ribosomal RNA
Source: RNAcentral